This 260-nucleotide long non-coding RNA is filed under the name Nicotiana benthamiana. Its description in RNAcentral is "long non-coding RNA (NBEN_LNC018112)". The record is from RNAcentral. Lineage: Eukaryota; Viridiplantae; Streptophyta; Magnoliopsida; Solanales; Solanaceae.
UAUUUGGUUUUCUUUCUUCUAAAAACUCUUUUAUUUUGCUUCGGUUUUAGUAACAAGAAACCUUGCUUUUGGUUCUCCGAUUUUUUAAUACUAGGAAUUGAUAAUUCUGAGGAUGAUGUUUGCAAAUUUGGGGCAAAAGAUGAAUAUAUAGGCACAGAAAAGAAGUUGAAUGAAUAGGAGAAAGAGACAGUAGUUAAGAGUGCUGAAGAUCGUGAUAAACCACUGGCUCUUUAGCUAAUUGUGUGCUCUCUGUAUUGCAG